GUGUUUGUGGGAUAAAUGUGAACCUUUGCCAGAAAUGGUAAAGGGAGUUAUGCUUAGAGCCCGCGAUGCUCUGUCGGUCCCUUAUGACUUCACUUAAACGUGGGUGGAUGGAGCUCCCAAACGUGGGAGACUUAUGUUUGGUGGUCAUUCAGAAAUGGAUGGACCAUAUUAUAUUAUGAUCUCACUUCACCUUCUAUGUGUUUGACAUGAUAUCCAAAGCUUUGG
Molecule: long non-coding RNA, 225 nt
Filed under: Musa acuminata (dwarf banana)
Lineage: Eukaryota; Viridiplantae; Streptophyta; Magnoliopsida; Zingiberales; Musaceae
Description: long non-coding RNA (MACU_LNC000554)
Source: RNAcentral